Molecule: ribosomal RNA, 906 nt
Filed under: Salmonella enterica subsp. enterica serovar Typhimurium
Lineage: Bacteria; Pseudomonadati; Pseudomonadota; Gammaproteobacteria; Enterobacterales; Enterobacteriaceae
Description: partial 23S ribosomal RNA
Rfam family: Bacterial large subunit ribosomal RNA
Source: RNAcentral
GCCAGUGGUGAACUCCACAUCCGCAUCCUUUGCUGAGGAUACGGUUAACGGAGCGAAAGCGACGUUCAACCGCAAAACAAGCAGAGGGGGCUUAGUGGUGGGGUGACUGCGUACCUUUUGUAUAAUGGGUCAGCGACUUAUAUUCUGUAGCAAGGUUAACCGAAUAGGGGAGCCGGAGGGAAACCGAGUCUUAAUUGGGCGUUAAGUUGCAGGGUAUAGACCCGAAACCCGGUGAUCUAGCCAUGGGCAGGUUGAAGGUUGGGUAACACUAACUGGAGGACCGAACCGACUAAUGUUGAAAAAUUAGCGGAUGACCUGUGGCUGGGGGUGAAAGGCCAAUCAAACCGGGAGAUAGCUGGUUCUCCCCGAAAGCUAUUUAGGUAGCGCCUCGUGAAUUCAUCUCCGGGGGUAGAGCACUGUUUCGGCUAGGGGGCCAUCCCGGCUUACCAACCCGAUGCAAACUGCGAAUACCGGAGAAUGUUAUCACGGGAGACACACGGCGGGUGCUAACGUCCGUCGUGAAGAGGGAAACAACCCAGACCGCCAGCUAAGGUCCCAAAGUCAUGGUUAAGUGGGAAACGAUGUGGGAAGGCCCAGACAGCCAGGAUGUUGGCUUAGAAGCAGCCAUCAUUUAAAGAAAGCGUAAUAGCUCACUGGUCGAGUCGGCCUGCGCGGAAGAUGUAACGGGGCUAAACCAUGCACCGAAGCUGCGGCAGCGAACGUAUCACCCAAGACAACUUUACGGAGUUGACGAUUGACGGAGCGAAGCGACGUCAAAGCGUUCAUUAAAGUCGAGUUGGCUUAGGGAUACGUUCGUUGGGUAGGGGAGCGUUCUGUAAGCCUGUGAAGGUGUGUCGUGAGGCAUGCUGGAGGUAUCAGAAGUGCGAAUGCUGACAUAAGUAACGA